CCUACGGGGGGCAGCAGUGGGGGAUAUUGCACAAUGGGGGAAACCCUGAUGCAGCGACGCCGCGUGUGGGAAGACGGUCCUCUGGAUUGUAAACCACUGUUCCCAGGGACGAAGAUGACGGUACCUGGGGAGGAAGCUCCGGCUAACUACGUCCCAGCAGCCGCGGUAAUACGUAGGGAGCAAGCGUUUGCCGGAAUUACUGGGUGUAAAGGGGGCGUUGGCGGGAUGGCAAGUUGGGGGUUAAAUCUACCGCCUCAACUGGUAGUCGCACUCGAAACUGCUAUGCUUGAGUGAAGUAGAGGCAGGCGGAAUGUCUAGUGUAGCGGUGAAAUGCGUAGAUAUUAGGAGGAACACCAGUGGCGAAGGCGGCCUGCUGGGCUUUUACUGACGCUGAGGCUCGAAAGUGUGGGGAGCAAACAGGAUUAGAUACCCCGGUAGUC
RNAcentral lists this ribosomal RNA (440 nucleotides) under uncultured bacterium. RNAcentral describes it as "partial 16S ribosomal RNA". It matches the Rfam family "Bacterial small subunit ribosomal RNA", at positions 338 to 795 of the family's 1533-position model. The record is from RNAcentral.